GACGAACGCUGGCGGCGUGCUUAACACAUGCAAGUCGAGCGGUAAGGCCCUUUCGGGGUACGACGAGCGGCGAACGGGUAGAGUAACACGUGGGUGGACCUGCCCUCCAGCUCUGGGAGUAAGCCUCGGGAAACCGGGUACUAUACUGGAUAUGACUCCAUGACGCAUGUUGUGGGGUGGAAAGCCUUGUGCGGCUGAGGAUGGGCCCGCGGCCUAUCAGCUUGUUGGUGGGGUGAGGGCCUACCAAGGCGACGACGGGUAGCCGGCCUGAGAGGGCGACCGGCCACACUGGGACUGAGACACGGCCCAGACUCCUACGGGAGGCAGCAGUGGGGAAUCUUGCGCAAUGGGCGAAAGCCUGACGCAGCGACGCCGCGUGAGGGAUGACGGCCUCGGUUGUAACUAC
RNAcentral lists this ribosomal RNA (406 nucleotides) under uncultured bacterium. RNAcentral describes it as "bacterial SSU rRNA". It matches the Rfam family "Bacterial small subunit ribosomal RNA", at positions 28 to 433 of the family's 1533-position model. The record is from RNAcentral.